RNAcentral lists this ribosomal RNA (492 nucleotides) under uncultured bacterium. Its description in RNAcentral is "partial 16S ribosomal RNA". It matches the Rfam family "Bacterial small subunit ribosomal RNA", at positions 29 to 507 of the family's 1533-position model. The record is from RNAcentral.
AGUGAACGCUGGCGGUAGGCCUAACACAUGCAAGUCGGACGGCAGCACAGUAAGAGCUUGCUCUUACGGGUGGCGAGUGGCGGACGGGUGAGGAAUACAUCGGAAUCUACUUUUUCGUGGGGGAUAACGUAGGGAAACUUACGCUAAUACCGCAUACGACCUACGGGUGAAAGUAGGGGAUCUUCGGACCUUGCGCGAUUGAAUGAGCCGAUGUCGGAUUAGCUAGUUGGCGGGGUAAAGGCCCACCAAGGCGACGAUCCGUAGCUGGUCUGAGAGGAUGAUCAGCCACACUGGAACUGAGACACGGUCCAGACUCCUACGGGAGGCAGCAGUGGGGAAUAUUGGACAGUGGGCGCAAGCCUGAUCCAGCCAUACCGCGUGGGUGAAGAAGGCCUUCGGGUUGUAAAGCCCUUUUGUUGGGAAAGAAAAGCAGCAGGUUAAUACCCCGCUGUUCUGACGGUACCCAAAGAAUAAGCACCGGCUAACUUCGUG